AAUCAACGCUGGCGGCGUGCCUAACACAUGCAAGUCGAACGAGAAAGUGGGAGCAAUCCCAUGAGUAAAGUGGCGCACGGGUGAGUAACACGUGACUAACCUACCCUUGAGUGGGGGAUAACUGAGGGAAACCUUAGCUAAUACCGCAUAAUACCCACGGGUCAAAGGAGCAAUUCGCUCGAGGAGGGGGUCGCGGCCGAUUAGUUAGUUGGCAGGGUAAUGGCCUACCAAGACGAUGACGGUAUCCGGCCUGAGAGGGCGCACGGACACACUGGAACUGAAACACGGUCCACGAUCCUACGGGAGGCAGCAGUGGGGAAUUUUGCGCAAUGGGGGAAACCCUGACGCAGUAACGCCGCGUGGAGGAUGAAGUCCUUCGG
This 380-nucleotide ribosomal RNA is filed under the name uncultured bacterium. RNAcentral's name for it is "bacterial SSU rRNA". It matches the Rfam family "Bacterial small subunit ribosomal RNA", at positions 32 to 421 of the family's 1533-position model. The record is from RNAcentral.